Molecule: ribosomal RNA, 470 nt
Filed under: uncultured bacterium
Lineage: Bacteria
Description: bacterial SSU rRNA
Rfam family: Bacterial small subunit ribosomal RNA
Source: RNAcentral
AACGAACGCUGGCGGCGCGCCUAAUACAUGCAAGUCGAGCGAGAAGACGUAGCAAUACGUUUGUAAAGCGGCGAACGGGUGAGGAAUACAUGGGUAACCUACCCUCGAGUGGGGAAUAACUAGCCGAAAGGUUAGCUAAUACCGCGUACGCUCCUUGGACUUCGGUUCAGGGAGGAAAGCGAUACCGUGGGUAUCGCGCUCUUGGAUGGGCUCAUGUCCUAUCAGCUUGUUGGUGAGGUAACGGCUCACCAAGGCUUCGACGGGUAGCUGGUCUGAGAGGACGGUCGGACACACUGACACUGAAUAACGGGUCAGACUCCUACGGGAGGCAGCAGUCGGGAAUUUUGGGCAAUGGGCGAAAGCCUGACCCAGCAACGCCGCGUGAAGGAUGAAGUAUUUCGGUAUGUAAACUUCGAAAGAAUAGGAAGAAUAAAUGACGGUACUAUUUAUAAGCUCCGGCUAACUACGUG